GGGCAGCCCCCCCCUCCGCGCGCCCCCGCCCCGCGCGCGCGCCGCGCGCCCCACUAGCGCUCUGCGCGCGCCGCAGGCUGUAGCCGGCCGGGGUCGCAGCACGCCUCCCCGCUCCGCCCCCUCGCGCGCCGCCCGGCGCCCCGCGCACGCGCGCCGCCCCCUGCUCCUUCAGCGAGGGUCUGCGGGGAGCGCGCGUCCAACGCAGGUAAUGAUGAAACUCCUGCUCUGGUCCGGGCUACCGGUGAACAGCGCCCAGCGGGCCGGGCCCCCAACCUCGCUCCUGAGCCUGAACAUCCCCCCAACCCCACCGUGAGAAUUCAGCGAAGAGUAAAAGCUGGAAAAAGUUGCGUGUCUUAGGCUAAGCAGAACAAAGUGGGGUGACGGCUCCCCGGCUAGGAACAGAGAUGCCCUUAGGGAGCCCUCUGAUGGAAGAGCUCUCCGCUUAAGAAGGUCACCACUCCCUUACACUCAGGAGAUGUUGCUGAGAUGGGUGCAUUAAAGUUUAGGCUUUCCAGAGUUUAUAUUGCUAACAACUUGAAAGGAAAAAAGCUAACUAGAGAACUGACUGGUCUUAUUUGUUUUAGAUUCUGGGCUUUACUAAGACUUCCUACUCUCAGAAUCUCUGGACUAUAAACGCUGGGUGGGGUGGGAGCUGGGAAUGUUAUUCUGGAAAAUUAAUCACAAAUGAAAAGAAAAUCAACUCUAAGACUCCAGUUAGAAGAUUUUUGAAAAUGGCAGAACAUGACUGGCCUUCAUUCAAGUCAGAAUAUUUAAAGCAAUCCUUGCUAAGAAGAACUUGAUUUUGUAUAAGCAGUCCCUUAAAUACAGUUGCUUCUCAAGAAAACCACACACAAUUGAUGUUUGAAUGGCUUUAUUUACAAACAUCUCACUCCGUAAGCCUCUGCAGGUAUUUCUAGCCUCCCAGGGGCCACUGUCCCGUUUCACCUGUAAUUUGGAUCACAAUUCUGUUUGUUGUCACACACAUCAUAUGAACUGCUUUUCAUGCUGCUUUUAUCCACAAAGCUUUACAAGCUUUAAUGGCAGCUCUAUGUAUGACAACUUUAUAAAGAUCUGCCAAAAGGUAUGAUGCCAAGCUUUGCUUUUAUUAAACUAUUAGCUAUUAGCACUGAAACGAUGUUCAGUAGAGAAGUACUCUCCUUUCAAUAUGUGAGUGGAAACACAUUUCUCUAUGGGGACUGCUGGUCAGGGACUCACUCUAAAGAAAAGCCACAGUGUUGUGGUUCAGAGCAUGGGCUCAAAAGACAAAUGGAUAAGAAGCCCAAGACCAGUCCUUCUGAGCUGUGUGACCUUAGACAAGUUGUCUAAUCUCUCUGUGUCUCAGCUCUGCCUCAGUGUUGUUAAUGGGAUUGCCGUGAGAGCAAUGCUGUAACAUGUAAAAAGCACUUAGAACUGUGUCUGGCACACAGAAAGCACUCGAUAAAUAUUGACCUGGUUAGCAGCAGCAGCAGCCAUCGCUGGAGCAUCUCUACAUCAUACAGGGCCCGAUGGAAAGAGACCAGCACUGAGAAUGAACAGAACAGUGCUGGCUCUGACCCGCUGGCUCUGGCAUUGCUGAAUAACUCUAAGCAAGUCUCUUAAGCUUUUUAAAUAUGAUUUUUCACCAGUAACUAAUGAAGGGAUUGAAGGAGCAGGUCCCCUGACGUCUUUUCAAAUUCUAAAAUUCUCCAGCUUUAUUUAAUCCUGCAGUGAAUCCUUUUGCAAGGUAAAGAGUACUCGCUCCCCUCAAUAACAUCUUAUGAGUUUAGGUUUCGGUGCAUAGGGCAAUACCCAGGGCAUAAAUCAUUUCCACUGUCACCAUAGCCCGCAGGUGAGGUGAGCAAUCCAUUAGCUUGCUUCUGGAAACAAGCCUGUCUGUAUUUGUUCCCCCAGCAUCUGCACUCAGCACACUGACUUUGCUCAGUAUAUGUAUUGGAUGGAUAAGUGAGUAAAUGAAUGAAUGACAUAAAGAUCAUAGAUUGCCUCAGCCUUCUAUUGGAAAAUAACCUAAAGGGAGGGGGAAAAUUACUACUUAAAACCACAAGUGCCACUCAAGGGAUGCCUCCUAUGAAAGGAGGAGUGCUAACUGCCAGGUCCCCACUGGUUCUUCGUGCUGCUUAUGGCCUGGAAGGCCUCUCCUGCAGCCAAGAGCCCUGAUGUGCUUGGGCUGUGCAACGGUGAGUCUGGGGUGAGUCUGGGAACUUUAGGCGCAGGAAUGGAGAGCGCUGACUCCCUUUGCCUAAGAAAGGGGACUUAGAGGGGAACUUGAAAGAGGGAGUAAGAGAGAGGGCAACAAGAGGGGCCGAGGCUAGGCAGUCCAUGCAGCGGGUGCCAAGCCUGAGGUGGGGUGGUCUGGAAAUCAUUCCAGAACAGGAAAUAUGUUCUUCUGUCUUCUGUGCCAUUUUAAGUUCUGUACAGCAAUGCCUGCUUUUCCAGUGAUCCUUACAACUUCCCAGCUUGUAUUUGUGGGUACUUUGAUGGAAAGUUGCAGGGGAAGCAGGGAACUAGGGCUGGGAUCAAUACCAGGACCAAGAUAAAGGAACAGCUGUAAGAGCAAGAGAACAAGAACUAAGCAAAAGCAGGGAAUUUGGGGCCUGCCAUGAUGAUGGGAACGUGGGCUCUGAAGAUCCACAGACAGCCAAGGCAGGCCUCGGCCUCUCCAUGGGACUGGAAAGCUCAUCUUGUCUCCCUCUCAAGGAGUAAGAAGAUGACUUCUGGAUACGUGAGUCACAAAAGGCCAGAACUUUUCUGCAUCUCCCACGGCACCCCCUUACAAGGGCAGGUCAUUUUGGGGCAUGCCACCUGGGCCAGUGGCAGCAGGUACUGAGCAAAUCCACCCCCCACCUCUCAGAGCUUGUCUCUUCCUGUCCUGGCCAGGUCUGUUUCUUCUCUCUUGAUCAACAGAAAUAACUCCCAAACUGCUUGGUAUAGAGCAGUUCAUGAAUAGAGAUUCAAACAGGUCACACUCAAUUAUGAAAUCAGGGUGCCUGGGCCAGGCCUGGCAUAACCCUGAUCUCAGAGGACCACCCCUACCCUCCCCAGGGAGCCACCAGAGAAGCUGUCACAUGCUCCUAAGACGUGCUUGCCACCAGCACCCCCAGACACUUAUGUGCUGAAAUUGCCAACAUGCAGAUUCGGAUUCAGAGGUCCAAUCAGGGCCUGAGAAUCUGCACUCCUUGCAAGCCCCCAGGUGGUGCCAACACAGCAGAAACAUUGACAUCUUAGGCCCCACCACAGACUUAAGCCAAAUCUGCACUGGAACAAGAUGCCCAGGCAAUCUCCCACCCUGAAGUUGUUCAGACUGGCCUCACUUAGGGGAGGGAGUUCCAGAUUAGAGAAAGGUCAGAUCAGCGGAGCCCAGAUGGACAGCCACCAGACAAAGGAGGAGAGGAGGGAGAGGCAGGUCAGAGAGAUCAGCCGGCCUUGAUUCUGCAGCACCUGGAGCCACAGUGGGAAAUUGAAGCUAUCCUCGGGGCACCAGAAAGCCAGUGGAAGGUUUCCAAGAGGAGAGUGACAAAAUCAGAUGGACCAUUUUAUAGGAUUCUUCUGGCUGGGGAUGCAGAUCCAGUUGGAGGCAGGGGGGGAUAGUUGAAUUAAGGGAGGCGCUAGAGAGAGCUAGGGUAGCAGUCCAAGAGACCCAGAUGAGGGUAGCUGCAGUAAGCAGACCAGCACAUCACUCAUGGUCCAGGGUGAUUUGCAGGCCUCUGAAGCAGCCAAGUACAAAACGAAGGCCCUCCCACUUCCCUUCUCCCUGGACCAGAUCUCUCUGACUUCUCACCUGGAAGGUGCCCACAGGUUGCCAACUCCUUGUCCUGUUUCCAAACCCUCCCUCCUUCAAUCCAUCUGACACUCUCCUGCCCCUGCUCAAAAACCUUCAAUAGCUCCCCAUUGCCUGCCAAAUGAUCUGCUAACUCCUCCACCCACACUGUUAUGUUCUACUUCUAUGUCUGCCUAACCCGUGACACAGUAGUUCACACUUUCAUUCAUGCAACAAAUAUUUAUUGAGUAUCAUCAAUGUGGCAGGCACUAAAAAGAAACCACUCAUCUGCCAAGGCACAUAAUCAAUUUCAGGAGGCUUAUAGCCACACUGAAAUGCUCUUCCAAAUAAGUGCUUUGGCUGUAGCAAAUGAAAAUAAUAAUAGAAAACACUUAUUAAAUACUAACUUUGUGCCAACUAUCAUGUUAAACACUUUGUGGGACUAUCUUAAUAAUCUUCCUCAGACACCUAUAAUGGAGAGGGUUGGCCUCAUUUUUCGUUUUGUGGGUUUUUGUUUUGUUUGUUUGAGACAGGGUCUCACUCUGUCACCAAGGCUGGAUUGCAGUGCUGUGAUCUCAGCUCACCGUUGCCUCAACCUCCUGGGUUUAAGCAGUCUUCCCACUUCAGCCUCCCAAGUAGCUGAGACCACAGGGAUAUGUCACCAUGCCUGGCUUUUUUUUUUUGUCUUUUGGGGGGUGCUACCAUGUUGCCCAGGCUGAUCUUGAACUCGCGAGCUCAAGCAAUCCACCCGCCUCAGCCUCCCAAAGUGCUGAGAUUGCAGGCGUGAGCCACUGUGCCCAGCUGGUUGGGCUCAUUUUAGCCAAAAGAAAAAUCUCAAGUCACUUGCAACGUAAGUGCAACAACUAAAUUCAUAGGGUAUGAAUUCAGGCAGUCUCAACCCAGGACUUCUCCCUCAACCCCUGUCCUCUGAAUGUCCUUGUACUCUAAGUCAUGGGGCUGUGAGUGAAACAACAUCAAAUAAGGCAUGUUAAAGUGCACAAUAAAACCCCAUUCAAAUUCUCUUUCCGACUCACCUCAUGCUAAUCCCAAGUCCUCCCAUGAUGCCCGGGUCACACCGACCAAGCAAUUCCAACCUUGAGGGUUUUGUCUUCCUUUUCCAUUUGCCUGGAACACUCUCCUUCAAGGCCUUGUUUUGGCCUCUCACCAUUCAGAUCUCUGCUCAGAUAUCACCCCUGGCAUCUCUGGGAGAGAAGCCACUGAGACACUUGUAGGCAAUAAUGGAAAUCUGCCAAAAAUUCUCUUGGUGGGCUCCUAUCACGUUCUAAGCCCUUUUCUCCUGUUUCCUUUUUUCUGUCUUCCUCUCCACUUCCUCCCACCUCCCCUUGCCCCUUUAGCCCUUCAAGAACAAGUGCCUCUCUCUUCUCCUCCGUGUUCUCCUCCUUAAUCAAAAGCUGCUCUCAUCAAAAGAUGUCCUGUCCAUCAUAUACGCCUUAGUGUGAAUUUGUUGGUAGGUCAAUUUUCCCAGAAAUGUCUGAUUUAUUUUUAUUUUUUAUUUUUUUUUUAAUUUUUUUGAGACCAGGUAAGUCUUGCUCUGUCACCUAGGCUGGAGUGCAGUGGUGCGAUCUCGGCAAUCUCAGCACCCUGCAACCUCAACCUCCACCUCCCAGGUUCAAGCGCUUCUCCUGCCUCGGCCUCCCGAGUAGCUGGGAUUAUAGGCAUGUGCCACCAUGCCCAGCUAAUUUUUGUAUUUUUAAUAGAGAUAGAGUUUCACCAUGUUGGCCAGGCUGGUCUCGAACUCCUGGCCUCAAAUGAUCUCCCUGCCUUGGCCUCUCAAACUGCUGGGAUUACAGGUGUGAACCACCACACCCGGCCAGGAGUGUCUGAAUUUUAAACCAUAUGCUUGAUUAUAAAAUAGUAGAGUUUGCCUUUCUUAAAGGAAUUUCAUACAACUGGGUUGCUAGUUUGUGUGUGUGUGUGUGUGUGUGUGUGUGUGUGUGUGUGUGUGUGUGUGUGUGAUAUGUUAGGGGCAGCAGGUUUUUCCUUAACGCCAGGAAUCAUUCAGGCUGACUUUGUUCAGCUGGAAUAAUUUCAGGCAUCGUGAUACAGUUGAAAGGAAAGAGGAUGAACAUUAAAAUAAGGAAGGCCUCAAUUUGAAUCUCGCUUCUGACAGUACUCGAACGAUCUUAGACUAAGUGAUUUCACUCUGACUCCCAGUUGUCUCUUUUAUAAUGUGAGGGUAAUUAACUAUUGUAAAGAUUAUUGUAAGAGCUAGAUGAGAUCACAGGACACACCAUAAGGGCUCAGUGGGGCUGGAAUGCGUGAAGUCCUCUUUGGAGCAGUCAGGCCUGAUGGACCCCGUGCCUGGGCUCGAAGACACCUACACACACUCCCAGGGCCCCCACUGCUUAUAACUGUUUCUGGAAAGAACUGAGCAUGAAACUUGGCAGGAGACCACAAAACGUCCUGGAAUCCUGGCCACUGUCAAGUCUAGAAUGCUCUCCUCCAGAGAAUCACAUUCUUGGGGCCAGUGUUGGAGCAUGGAAGACUUAGUUGGGGAUUGGAACUGCUCCAGCCCUGAAGCCCUCCUUCCUGUCCCUGUAACCAGCAAAUGUCACUGUCUGUCUUGCCAGGCUAACAACCUUUCUCAUAAGCAUCACCAAACCUGACCAGACAUCAGUCCUCUGAAAAGAAUCAUAAUCCAGCCACCAUAAACCCAAAAGCCAAAGUGGUAAUUAUCUAAAGAUGAGGAAAGGUUUCCUCCCAGGCCCUCCAGGGGCCAAGGAAGUUCUCACAUUAAACAGUUACACUGAUCUCCAUUGAUUUCUUCAGUCCAUCAACCAAUUAUUGGCAACUUUUUCUUGGAAACCUACUGUAUGUGAG
This 6595-nucleotide long non-coding RNA is filed under the name Homo sapiens (human). RNAcentral describes it as "non-protein coding lnc-LRP5L-2:14". The record is from RNAcentral. Lineage: Eukaryota; Metazoa; Chordata; Mammalia; Primates; Hominidae.